GACGAACGCUGGCGGCGUGCCUAAUACAUGCAAGUUGAGCGCUGAAGGUUGGUACUUGUACCGACUGGAUGAGCAGCGAACGGGUGAGUAACGCGUGGGGAAUCUGCCUUUGAGCGGGGGACAACAUUUGGAAACGAAUGCUAAUACCGCAUAAAAACUUUAAACACAAGUUUUAAGUUUGAAAGAUGCAAUUGCAUCACUCAAAGAUGAUCCCGCGUUGUAUUAGCUAGUUGGUGAGGUAAAGGCUCACCAAGGCGAUGAUACAUAGCCGACCUGAGAGGGUGAUCGGCCACAUUGGGACUGAGACACGGCCCAAACUCCUACGGGAGGCAGCAGUAGGGAAUCUUCGGCAAUAGACGAAAGUCUGACCGAGCAACGCCGCGUGAGUGAAGAAGGUUGUCGGAUCGUAAAACUCUGUUGGUAGAGAAGAACGUUGGUGAGAGUGGAAAGCUCAUCAAGUGACGGUAACUACCCAGAAAGGGACGGCUAACUACGUG
RNAcentral lists this ribosomal RNA (497 nucleotides) under uncultured bacterium. RNAcentral's name for it is "partial 16S ribosomal RNA". It matches the Rfam family "Bacterial small subunit ribosomal RNA", at positions 28 to 507 of the family's 1533-position model. The record is from RNAcentral.